CCUACGGGAGGCAGCAGUGGGGAAUCUUGCGCAAUGGGGGAAACCCUGACGCAGCAACGCCGCGUGGGUGAUGAAGGCCUUCGGGUCGUAAAGCCCUGUCAGGUGGAAAGAAAUGUGUGGAUGCGAAUAACAUCCUCACUUGACGGUACCACCGGAGGAAGCACCGGCUAACUCCGUGCCAGCAGCCGCGGUAAUACGGAGGGUGCAAGCGUUGUUCGGAAUUAUUGGGCGUAAAGCGCGUGUAGGUGGUUGGGCAAGUCAGAUGUGAAAGCCCUCCGCUUAACGGAGGAAGUGCAUUUGAAACUGCCCAGCUAGAGUACGGGAGAGGAGAGUGGAAUUCCCGGUGUAGAGGUAAAAUUCGUAGAGAUCGGGAGGAACACCAGUGGCGAAGGCGGCGUCCUGGCCGACACCUGACGCUGAAGCGCGAAAGCGUGGGGAGCGAACGGGAUUAGAUACCCCGGUAGU
RNAcentral lists this ribosomal RNA (465 nucleotides) under uncultured delta proteobacterium. RNAcentral describes it as "partial 16S ribosomal RNA". It matches the Rfam family "Bacterial small subunit ribosomal RNA", at positions 338 to 794 of the family's 1533-position model. Lineage: Bacteria; Deltaproteobacteria. The record is from RNAcentral.